UGUAAAAAAAAUCUGUAAAAUAACAGUUAAAUGACUGUAUAUUUUAACAGAUUUUUUCCGUAUACACGUAUUACGGGUGUUUUUCCGUUUAUAUACAUUUUCGAAUUGCAUUGUGGGAAGGGGAUCGCAGCUCAGACAGCGUUUGAUGGACACCGGGACAUAUUUCUUCCUCUGUUUUUUCCCUGGUAAGUACGAUUAAUAAAACAUAUAACAAUAUUUUAGUUAAAAGACUGCUUUAUUACCUUUUUAUCGUUAUUUAAAAUGAUUUUUGUCUUUUAUGAAGCGCCCAUGGAAAGUACAGCAUUGUUUGUCCGUAUUUUUCUAAACUGCCGUGCGCGGGAAGUGGCGUGACGUCCAAUCACCCACUCACUCCCUCUGCACCUGACUGGAUUAACGGUAAACGUCAGUUUGUCUGUAAGAGUGUAAAAGGUAUGUUAAUUAUUUUAUAGAAAUAUAAAUGUUUUCUUUGUACAGUGCAUUGAACAAGGGAUAGCAUUCAAAGUUUGUGUCACUGUGUAGUUUGGUUGAUAUACGUUACCUUUAAUGAACACUAACGUUAACGUGUUUCAAACGCUCGUAACACCUGACCGUCUGUGUUUGUUUGCAUAUUAAUGACUAAUUUCAUAUUUUUACUGACGUUAUCAAAUGUUAGCUUUAGUUUGACCGACGUAUUAAGGCUGUGUGACCGAGUUUCAGUGGAACAGCUUUGCUGGUUUUUAAGUAAGUUAUAAGUUAGACUCGCGUGAAUUGGAGGCAUUUGUAACUCGGUAUGAGGGGAAAUACACACUCGUAAAGUUUUUAUUAGUGGUGGGCCGUUAUCAGCAUUAACGUGCUGCGUUAACGCGAGACUUAUCGCGCGGUAAAAAAAAAUAUAUCGCCGUUAAUCUAUUCUCAACGUUGGGUUGGGAGCUGGGUGACUUUCAUACUUUGAUAUUUUAGCGCGGAUGUAUACCUGACCGGUGAGCCGUCUGACAAACAAGUGCCCUUAUGAAUCAAAUCAGCAGGAUGCCUGACUUUAACUGCAGUUCGGCAGUUUCACUUUAACUCAUGAACAUUUCAUUCAUCCCGCGUGACAAACUGGGGUAAUAGACGCAAAUAAGAAGCAAGAACUGAUGAGAAUGUUAUGGAAUUUAACAACGCUCGCCAAAUGGAACGAAAAAAAAAACUUCCGCAUUUCGCGACGCGUGUUUGUGUGUACAGAGAUAACAGAGUGAUACAGUACGUGUGUGACAUUUAAAAGUAUUUAUAGUGUUUACACUGUCAUGCGUUUUCGGCCUCAAAUACAACGUGUACCUUAAAGCAGACAAUUAAAUGUUUGUUGUAGUCGAGUUGAACUGUCAUUGAUAUUUAUUUAUUCACUUUUAAGAACCUCAAGGGCAGCUAAUAUGAAGAUAUAAAGAUGAGUUGUUCUUCCACAGUCUUAAAAUUCUUCAAACUAAUUGUCAGUUCGAUUCAUUAUAGCAAACAAUACUUUCUUUACUAUUAGGAGAUCAGGAGUUUUAUUUUAAUGAAACCUUGAUAAUAGAGUGAACUACACAUGGUGUUAUCGCAAAUGAAAUCUUUUUAUGUAGAUUUUAAGUGAGUUUUAUUUGCACAAAUAAGGUUCACUGAUAUUUUGCUUUGUUGACUUUCAGGUUCUUUCAUUUUGGUUAUAAGUACAUGUUACAGGUAAAUUCUUAGAUUCAAUCCAAACUGAAUUUGAAUUAAUACGGACAAAUGAAAUAAAAUACACCUGGGAUUUUAAAUGUUUUCAUUUUUUUAUUAUUCACAACGUUUGUGAAGUCUAAAUGUAGACUGUCUCAAACUGAAUAAGUGUUAUUUUUGUUGUAGGUGUGUUGGUGUAAAAAUUGAUGCUGACUGAACUCAGGCAGUUGUGCUGGACCAUCUGUACCUAAUACAGGGGAUGACAGUAAACUUCCAAGUUUAAGAGCCACCUGAUGAUGAGAGAGACAAUUUCAAUGUGGGCAUCUUGAUGAAGAAGAGUCCACAGUCACAAUAACAAGAUCAUUGAGCUGUCCCCUAAUUGUGGUGAGCUACAUGUUUAGUCUCUUAUGUGCUAAACAUUAUGUAGCCUAAGGAAGCAGCCCUGACUCUGGAGUUUAUAUGAAGGAGCAUGCUGAGUAACUAUCCAAAAUGUAGGUCCAUAGCAGAAAAAAGUGCACCAAGCAGAAACAUACCAUCUAAACUCCUUCGAUUCCUGUCAGACCAGAAAGACUUUCAGAAUCCUUGGAAGAUUUAAAGCCAUUGAAGUAUCAGUAUUGGAGCGGAAGAAGAUCCAGUUGUAUCGUCUGUUUCCUGCCAUCUUGCAGUUAACCUGGUUUCUUAAUGUAAAGUACUUGUAAUUUGCCCACUUGUCCUCAAUUAUCUUAAAGCUAACAUUUAAAACUAAUUUGCUUUGAGAUUAUUUGCCAAGACUUCUCACUGUGUGAUUCACAUGUCAAUAUGUAUUUAUUGUGUGUAUAACUUGCUAUUUGGAAUUCAAAUGAUUUGUAUUCAUUAAAGAAUCUG
Molecule: non-coding RNA, 2508 nt
Organism: Danio rerio (zebrafish)
Lineage: Eukaryota; Metazoa; Chordata; Actinopteri; Cypriniformes; Danionidae
Source: RefSeq, a predicted model, not a curated record